CGAACGCUGGCGGCGUGCUUAACACAUGCAAGUCGAACGGAAAGGCCCUGCUUGCAGGGUACUCGAGUGGCGCACGGGUGCGUAACACGUGGGUGAUCUGCCCUGCACUUCGGGAUAAGCCUGGGAAACUGGGUCUAAUACCGGAUAGGAGCCAUUUUUAGUGUGAUGGUUGGAAAGUUUUUUCGGUGUAGGAUGAGCUCGCGGCCUAUCAGCUUGUUGGUGGGGUAAUGGCCUACCAAGGCGGCGACGGGUAGCCGGCCUGAGAGGGUGGACGGCCACAUUGGGACUGAGAUACGGCCCAGACUCCUACGGGAGGCAGCAGUGGGGAAUAUUGCACAAUGGGCGCAAGCCUGAUGCAGCGACGCCGCGUGGGGGAUGACGGCCUUCGGGUUGUAAACUCCUUUCGCUAGGGACGAAGCUUUUGUGACGGUACCUAGAUAAGAAGCACCGGCUAACUACGUG
This 462-nucleotide ribosomal RNA is filed under the name uncultured bacterium. Its description in RNAcentral is "partial 16S ribosomal RNA". It matches the Rfam family "Bacterial small subunit ribosomal RNA", at positions 30 to 507 of the family's 1533-position model. The record is from RNAcentral.